UUCAACACGAAGAUUUAUUUCUACGGAAACUGCGUACCUGGGCAGAAACGUUUCACCUGUUGUGUGGAUGGGUGCGAUAAUGGGGAUUAACAGCUAAAUAUAAGUUACAAUACCAUUUAUCUGCAACUCUCACAUGGCUUUUGAUGGGCAAAACUACAGCAGACUGGAAAGGGUGUUUGCUGCUCUUAUAUGUGGUGUAUCCAGGCAGACUGUGGAGACAAAUGAACUCCCACUCAGAUCAGCCAUUACUGUAUAAAAUGCUGCCUCAGCCGAGCCCACUGUGGAGGAGGGAGAGGACUGUGACUUCUAGAUGACCUAGGAAACCACCUUUGGAUGGGAAAAAUUACAUCAAUGACAACAUCAACAGCAACAACACAAAGGCCUCUUUGGAAGACCCUCUCCUUUUCUGUCCCAUCAGGAAGUCUUCCUUUUUUCUGUAACAGUCCAAGCCAGUUUAUGAGUUAGUAUUUAAAAAUCUAGAGGCUGGGGUGAGUUCAUGGAAAAGAUGUUGGGAAACAUGUCCAUUAAUGCAGCAAGUAUUUUUUUUUUUAUUUCAGCAUCCAUGUGAAUAUGUCUAUCAAUCUGACUCAUGUUUAAAUGAAUGGGGUCUGCACCUACCGAAUUAGUUCUUAAGCUAUAAUAAUAAUGGACUAAAACCCAGGUCCAGAUCCAUGUUUGGACAGGCUAGUCUGGGACUCAGACAGAAAACCCAGCCACUACUGUGCCAUAGAUA
Cheilinus undulatus (humphead wrasse) is the source of this 733-nucleotide long non-coding RNA. RefSeq lists it as uncharacterized. The record is from RefSeq and is a predicted model, not a curated record. The transcript has 5 exons. Lineage: Eukaryota; Metazoa; Chordata; Actinopteri; Labriformes; Labridae.